This 75-nucleotide transfer RNA is filed under the name Rhodospirillaceae bacterium. RNAcentral's name for it is "tRNA-Gln". It matches the Rfam family "tRNA". Rfam says of the family: Transfer RNA (tRNA) molecules are approximately 80 nucleotides in length. Their secondary structure includes four short double-helical elements and three loops (D, anti-codon, and T loops). Further hydrogen bonds mediate the characteristic L-shaped molecular structure. tRNAs have two regions of fundamental functional importance: the anti-codon, which is responsible for specific mRNA codon recognition, and the 3' end, to which the tRNAs corresponding amino acid is attached (by aminoacyl-tRNA synthetases). tRNAs cope with the degeneracy of the genetic code in two manners: having more than one tRNA (with a specific anti-codon) for a particular amino acid; and 'wobble' base-pairing, i.e. permitting non-standard base-pairing at the 3rd anti-codon position. RNAcentral also lists the same sequence under 1 other name. The record is from RNAcentral. Lineage: Bacteria; Pseudomonadati; Pseudomonadota; Alphaproteobacteria; Rhodospirillales; Rhodospirillaceae.
UGGGGCGUAGCCAAGCGGUAAGGCAACGGGUUUUGAUCCCGUGAUUCCCUGGUUCGAUUCCAGGCGCCCCAGCCA